This is a long non-coding RNA of Lactuca sativa (garden lettuce), 1735 nucleotides long. RefSeq lists it as uncharacterized. Lineage: Eukaryota; Viridiplantae; Streptophyta; Magnoliopsida; Asterales; Asteraceae. The record is from RefSeq and is a predicted model, not a curated record.
UUUGUUAGUAUUUACUGGUAACCUUCGUGGAAAGAAAGGCCUAUCAAAUAGAGGCAUCAACUGAGCUCGAGGGAUCAUCUCCUUUCUUAACAUUCGAACCUCUUCUUCCUCGAUCAUCUGGUUUCAGGUUUUCAAUCAAUCUACUCAAUCAAAAAGUCAUACCGAAGUUUUUGUUUUGAUGGGAAGCGAAGAGGGGUCGGAUUUCACAGGUCUUGUUGGUGAACGAACAGCAUCACUGCUGUAAGAAGUAUUCUUCACAUACUUAAACCAACAACACGAAGGGAAACAUGUUAGAAUGUCUUAAACCUGGAAGAGAAUUAGUAGAUGGUGAAGAAAACAUAAAGAAAGCGAAUUAAUGCAUGAUGAUAUUGACCUUGUGAGAAGUUUUUAUUCUAGGGGUUUCCAUAAUGAGUGUAAAUAACUUAAAAGAAGUUAAAGUUGAAGUGAAGUGAAGUGAAGAGUGUGUAUAGUGUGUGUUAUAUAUGGGAGUAGGGGUUGGAGAUUUGUAGCCAUCUGAGUUUCGGUGGAUGUUGGAACAUCAUCAGCUUAUUGGGAAAGUUGCAUGCUUUCUUGCACCAAACUUUCUGAUGAAACCCAUCCUUCGUAUUAUUAUGAUUAGGACGAGGUGCAUUAUAUAAAAUGAAAAGAAUCUUAUCUAUAUGGAUAUUAAUAUUGCUAUAUUCGUCUUCCCAUAGAGCAUCAAUUUGUCAGCUAAUAGCAGGGGAAAAACAUAUUCGAGGAAGUUGCUUUUAUUCACGAAAGAAACAAAUACACAUAUACACAUAUAUUCUUUAAUUCUAAAUUGAAGAAAUCAAGAACAUUAAUUGCAUUUCAAUCAUAUGUUUUCCACAUUUUGAUUAUUUACUGCGUCAUUUUUGUCAACAUUUUAUUUUUGUCCAUCAAUUUUGUAAAAUGUAUAUGACGUUUUAAAUUAAGAAUUCUAUUAAUGACAAUUAAAUCCCACCAAAAAUAAAAUUGAUUAAAUUAGGAAUUCUAUUAAUAACAAUUAAAUCUCACCCAAAAAUAAAAUGAAAAAAAUUACCCCGCCCCACCCCUCAUUAUCAGUACCCCUACGCUAUCUUCCUUUUUAUUUACAUAAUCUAUCUAACCUAAGUUUUAUACUGGAGAAGAAAAUGGGGGAAAGAAGAAAUAUAAUACCUGUGGGCUUUGAUUUGUGUGAAUCAGUCUUGUGUUUGAUCAUCAUAGAAGGAGGAAUGAUAUAGAUAUAAAUUUUCUUUGGAUUCUACUUUAAUUAGAUCAUAGUUUAGUUCGAUUUUGGCUACGUUUUAGCUUAUGCUUCUUUUAUUCUGUUUCAACUAUGAAGUUCCAAUCUAUAAAACCUUCCAAUUUAAGUUUAAAUCGAUAAUGGUUAUGUUUUUUUGAAUCUGCUUCGAUUUUGUUCUUAUGAUCUGUAUUGUUGAUUUUGAUUUUUUAAGUUAUAGGUAUCUGGAGAGCAAAAUGAUGGACACAUCAGCACCACUACCUCUCAUCCAUUGUUUUGAUUUGUAAGAUAUGUCCACUAGCUUACCAAGUCGUGAAUGAGAAGAUAUACUUGAGUCAAUGUCUAUAAUGCUUUCAUCAUUCGAUCCAUUCCUGGAUUUGGAGAUGAAAUUCAAACCCUUAUACCAGUGAGUGAUCCACAUAUCCUACAACUUAGCAAAACCCAGAGAUGAUAUGUGUUUUGAUUUAUUGUAAAAAACAUAUAUUUUUUUUUAUAAAAACACAAAUUGGGCUC